This is a long non-coding RNA of Boleophthalmus pectinirostris (great blue-spotted mudskipper), 1015 nucleotides long. RefSeq lists it as uncharacterized. The record is from RefSeq and is a predicted model, not a curated record. The transcript is spliced from 7 exons. NCBI's taxonomy places the organism in Eukaryota, Metazoa, Chordata, Actinopteri, Gobiiformes, Gobiidae.
AUCAAAAUUGCACAAGAACACCACCUCACGUCGUAAUUACCCCUGAAAAGAUGGAAGAUGUUUAUGAUACACGAUCUAGCGAGAUGAGAUAAACUUUGACCUUUCAUCAUGGCGGAGAGCAGCGAAAGUGUCGUGAAUGAGUAUCUUGAUAAACUGAACUGGAUGGUUCUUCUCUGCUGGAGAAGUGGGAAGCUCUGACACAGUUCACUUUCAUCAGGCUGGACCCAGUGAAGUUGCUUCCAGGAGGAUCACAUCACAUCACUGCAAAGCUGUAUGGAAGGAAAGAAGAACAGGUUAAUGGCAUGGGGCAACGACAGUGGACAUUCUGCAUGGAGUUUUUGAAAAUGCUGUCAUCCCACACUCCAGGGCAUGGAUCAUGUCAAUGGUCAUCAUUGGAGCCAAUCACAAUCUUGCAUUGACAGAUGGUAAAUGACAAAAGAGACAUCAUGUGUCCAGAAAUCAUUGCAAACCCUCAAGCGAAGGACAUGGCUGAAGGAGUCUGGUAUACUUCUCACUGGUGGAGAGCAUUUCCUAUGGGGUCUAAUCCCUUCUGUUUCAUGGGUCAGUGACCAUUCCGACCUCAAAAGAUUUUGGACCCCCCAGCUGGCUUCACUAGCAGGUCAAAAGAUAUCAGAGCUGGUUCAACAUGAGCUACAUCAAGCAUGGACCAGAGUUUUUAAAAGAAAGAAGGUUGGAUUCUGAAAAACAAUGGAAAGAUGUAUCAAACCAAAAUGGGAAAGAUUUGACAUUGCAUGGCUCAGCAUUUUCUGGGAUCAGCCUCACAAGAGGAAAGGGCCGGACCGCAAAAGGAUUCUCAUCAGCAAAAAGUACCCAGCAACAAGGGAGGAAAAGGACACAACAGGCCAUAAACCAGGAAGCAAAGGUUGUUUUUACCAUCAUACAACUUUUACCAUUACACUCUCAGUGUUCAGGUUGUAACAGGACAUCAAAGCAUGAUUUAAGAAGCCUCUGUACUCAAUAUUUAUCAGAAAAUAACAGCAUUUUUUUUUCUUUA